UGUAUAGAGGUUAUAGGUCUCUGUUUGCUGGGUAUCAGCGGGUGGAGAUCUCCUUGUACAGAGGGUAUAGGUCUAUGUGUGCUGGGUAUCAGAGGGUGGACAUCUCCCUGUACAGCGGGUAUAGGUCUCUCUGUGUGCUGGGUAUAAGCUGGUGUAGAUUUCCUUGUAUAGAGGGUAUAGGUAUCUGUGUGCUGGGUAUCAGAGGGUGGAGAUAUCCUUGUAUAGAAGGUGUAGAUCUAUCUGUGCGGUGGGUGUCAGAGAGUGGAGAUCUCCUUGUAUAGAGGGUAUAGGUCUCUGUUUGCUGGGUAUCAGCGGGUGGAGAUCUCCUUGUACAGAGGGUAUAGGUCUAUGUGUGCUGGGUAUUAGCGGGUGGAGAUCUCCUUGUAUAGAGGUUAUAGGUCUCUGUGUGCUGGGUGUCAGCGGGUGGAGAUCUCCCUGUACAGAGGGUGUAGGUCUCUGUGUGCUGGGUAUCAGCGGGCGGAGAUCUCCCUGUACAGAGGGUGUAGAUCUUUCUGUGCGGUGGGUAUCGGUGGGCUUAGAUCUCUUUAUAUAGGUCUCUCUGUGUGCUGGGCAUCCCAAAUGCGUGUUCAUUAUCGAAGUCUACACUUAUUACGUUUCAAUGUACAUUUCAUCACAAAAUAUCCUGAUUAGAACUACCUGGCAUGACUUUUCAUAUUUUACACUGUCUGACCCCAACCUGUGUUGCUUUUGAAAUCACUUUUAGUAAAAAUAAUACGUGUUGUUCAUAGGCGUAACACGUUCAGAGAUAACACUUAGUGGAGUGCAUUCGGUGCAUUAAUCAAAUGAUAUCUUCUUAAUCAUAGCCUCCUUUUUUUCUGCUUCAUUCAAAGGGUAAAUUGUUGUACGUAUGUGUAUCGGAAUCAAUACAGAGGGUGAAACACUUUCAAUUUACUGAACA
Long non-coding RNA from Haliotis rubra (blacklip abalone), 919 nucleotides. RefSeq lists it as uncharacterized. The record is from RefSeq and is a predicted model, not a curated record. NCBI's taxonomy places the organism in Eukaryota, Metazoa, Mollusca, Gastropoda, Lepetellida, Haliotidae. The transcript is spliced from 3 exons.